CUCAGAUGACGCUGGCGGCGUGCCUAAUACAUGCAAGUCGAACGAGUUCUCGUUGAUGAUCGGUGCUUGCACCGAGAUUCAACAUGGAACGAGUGGCGGACGGGUGAGUAACACGUGGGUAACCUGCCCUUAAGUGGGGGAUAACAUUUGGAAACAGAUGCUAAUACCGCAUAGAUCCAAGAACCGCAUGGUUCUUGGCUGAAAGAUGGCGUAAGCUAUCGCUUUUGGAUGGACCCGCGGCGUAUUAGCUAGUUGGUGAGGUAAUGGCUCACCAAGGCGAUGAUACGUAGCCGAACUGAGAGGUUGAUCGGCCACAUUGGGACUGAGACACGGCCCAAACUCCUACGGGAGGCAGCAGUAGGGAAUCUUCCACAAUGGACGCAAGUCUGAUGGAGCAACGCCGCGUGAGUGAAGAAGGCUUUCGGGUCGUAAAACUCUGUUGUUGGAGAAGAAUGGUCGGCAGAGUAACUGUUGUCGGCGUGACGGUAUCCAACCAGAAAGCCACGGCUAACUACGUGCCAGCAGCCGCGGUAAUACGUAGGUGGCAAGCGUUAUCCGGAUUUAUUGGGCGUAAAGCGAGCGCAGGCGGUUUUUUAAGUCUGAUGUGAAAGCCCUCGGCUUAACCGAGGAAGCGCAUCGGAAACUGGGAAACUUGAGUGCAGAAGAGGACAGUGGAACUCCAUGUGUAGCGGUGAAAUGCGUAGAUAUAUGGAAGAACACCAGUGGCGAAGGCGGCUGUCUGGUCUGUAACUGACGCUGAGGCUCGAAAGCAUGGGUAGCGAACAGGAUUAGAUACCCUGGUAGUCCAUGCCGUAAACGAUGAAUGCUAGGUGUUGGAGGGUUUCCGCCCUUCAGUGCCGCAGCUAACGCAUUAAGCAUUCCGCCUGGGGAGUACGACCGCAAGGUUGAAACUCAAAGGAAUUGACGGGGGCCCGCACAAGCGGUGGAGCAUGUGGUUUAAUUCGAAGCAACGCGAAGAACCUUACCAGGUCUUGACAUCUUUUGAUCACCUGAGAGAUCAGGUUUCCCCUUCGGGGGCAAAAUGACAGGUGGUGCAUGGUUGUCGUCAGCUCGUGUCGUGAGAUGUUGGGUUAAGUCCCGCAACGAGCGCAACCCUUAUGACUAGUUGCCAGCAUUUAGUUGGGCACUCUAGUAAGACUGCCGGUGACAAACCGGAGGAAGGUGGGGAUGACGUCAAAUCAUCAUGCCCCUUAUGACCUGGGCUACACACGUGCUACAAUGGAUGGUACAACGAGUUGCGAGACCGCGAGGUCAAGCUAAUCUCUUAAAGCCAUUCUCAGUUCGGACUGUAGGCUGCAACUCGCCUACACGAAGUCGGAAUCGCUAGUAAUCGCGGAUCAGCACGCCGCGGUGAAUACGUUCCCGGGCCUUGUACACACCGCCCGUCACACCAUGAGAGUUUGUAACACCCGAAGCCGGUGGCGUAACCCUUUUAGGGAGCGAGCCGUCUAAGGUGGGACAAAUGAUUAGGGUGAGCAAGAGGGGGGAAGAAAAAAAA
This 1519-nucleotide ribosomal RNA is filed under the name Lacticaseibacillus paracasei. RNAcentral's name for it is "bacterial SSU rRNA". It matches the Rfam family "Bacterial small subunit ribosomal RNA". The record is from RNAcentral. Lineage: Bacteria; Bacillati; Bacillota; Bacilli; Lactobacillales; Lactobacillaceae.